GAUGAACGCUGGCGGCGUGCCUAAUACAUGCAAGUCGAGCGAACAGACGAGGAGCUUGCUCCUCUGACGUUAGCGGCGGACGGGUGAGUAACACGUGGAUAACCUACCUAUAAGACUGGGAUAACUUCGGGAAACCGUAGCUAAUACCGGAUAACAUAUUGAACCGCAUGGUUCAAUAGUGAAAGAGGGUAUUGCUGUCCCUCAAAGAUGGAUCCGCGUCGCAUUAGCUGGUUGGUAAGGUAACGGCUUACCAAGGCAACGUUGCGUAGCCGACCUGAGAGGGUGAUCGGCCACACUGGAACUGGGACACGGUCAAGACUCCUACGGGAGGCAGCAGUAGGGAAUCUUCCGCAAUGGGCGAAAGCUUGACGGAGCAACGCCGCGUGAGUGAUGAAGGUCUUCGGAUCGUAAACCUCUGUUAUUAGGGAAGAACAAAUGUGUAAGUAACUAUGCACGUCUUGACGGUACCUAAUCAGAAAGCCACGGCUAACUACGUG
RNAcentral lists this ribosomal RNA (497 nucleotides) under uncultured bacterium. RNAcentral describes it as "partial 16S ribosomal RNA". It matches the Rfam family "Bacterial small subunit ribosomal RNA", at positions 28 to 507 of the family's 1533-position model. The record is from RNAcentral.